AAUCGGUUGGAUAGUCGCUCAACACGGAUGUCGUCUCCCUGCCUUUGACCACGGAUGUACUGGCAUUGGCAGGUCGAGAGGACGAGGAAGGUCGGGUUCGCCCGGCCUUUUUUGUU
Small RNA from Sinorhizobium fredii NGR234, 116 nucleotides. It matches the Rfam family "Alphaproteobacterial sRNA ar35". The record is from Rfam. Lineage: Bacteria; Pseudomonadati; Pseudomonadota; Alphaproteobacteria; Hyphomicrobiales; Rhizobiaceae.